RNAcentral lists this ribosomal RNA (425 nucleotides) under uncultured bacterium. RNAcentral describes it as "partial 16S ribosomal RNA". It matches the Rfam family "Bacterial small subunit ribosomal RNA", at positions 354 to 796 of the family's 1533-position model. The record is from RNAcentral.
GUGGGGAAUCUUAGACAAUGGGCGCAAGCCUGAUCUAGCCAUGCCGCGUGAGCGAUGAAGGCCUUAGGGUUGUAAAGCUCUUUCGUGGGGGAAGAUAAUGACUGUACCCCAAGAAGAAGCCCCGGCUAACUCCGUGCCAGCAGCCGCGGUAAUACGGGGGGGGCUAGCGUUGUUCGGAAUUACUGGGCGUAAAGCGCACGUAGGCGGACUGGAAAGUCAGGGGUGAAAUCACGGGGCUCAAACCCGGAACUGCCUUUGAAACUCCCAGUCUUGAGUUCGAGAGAGGUGAGUGGAAUUCCGAGUGUAGAGGUGAAAUUCGUAGAUAUUCGGAGGAACACCAGUGGCGAAGGCGGCUCACUGGCUCGAUACUGACGCUGAGGUGCGAAAGCGUGGGGAGCAAACAGGAUUAGAAACCCGUGUAGUCC